Molecule: ribosomal RNA, 406 nt
Filed under: uncultured bacterium
Lineage: Bacteria
Description: partial 16S ribosomal RNA
Rfam family: Bacterial small subunit ribosomal RNA
Source: RNAcentral
AUUGAACGCUGGCGGCAGGCCUAACACAUGCAAGUCGAACGAGUGGCGGACGGGUGAGUAAUGCUUGGGAAACUGCCUGAUGGAGGGGGAUAACUACGGGAAACGGUAGCUAAUACCGCAUACCAUAGGAUGAGCCCAAGUGGGAUUAGGUAGUUGGUGGGGUAAAGGCUCACCAAGCCGACGAUCCCUAGCUGGUCUGAGAGGAUGACCAGCCACACUGGGACUGAGACACGGCCAAGACGCCUACGGGAGGCAGCAGUGGGGAAUAUUGCGCAAUGGGGGCAACCCUGACGCAGCCAUGCCGCGGGAAUGAAGAAGGCCUUCGGGUUGUAAAGUUCUUUCGGUAGCGAGGCGUUAACUACAGAAGAAGCACCGGCUAACUCCGUGCCAGCAGCCGCGGUAAUUC